This 509-nucleotide ribosomal RNA is filed under the name uncultured bacterium. Its description in RNAcentral is "bacterial SSU rRNA". It matches the Rfam family "Bacterial small subunit ribosomal RNA", at positions 19 to 518 of the family's 1533-position model. The record is from RNAcentral.
CUGGCUCAGAUGAACGCUGGCGGCAGGCCUAACACAUGCAAGUCGAACGGUAACAGGAAGAAGCUUGCUUCUUCGCUGACGAGUGGCGGACGGGUGAGUAAUGUCUGGGAAACUGCCUGAUGGAGGGGGAUAACUACUGGAAACGGUAGCUAAUACCGCAUAACGUCGCAAGACCAAAGAGGGGGACCUUCGGGCCUCUUGCCAUCGGAUGUGCCCAGAUGGGAUUAGCUUGUUGGUGGGGUAACGGCUCACCAAGGCGACGAUCCCUAGCUGGUCUGAGAGGAUGACCAGCCACACUGGAACUGAGACACGGUCCAGACUCCUACGGGAGGCAGCAGUGGGGAAUAUUGCACAAUGGGCGCAAGCCUGAUGCAGCCAUGCCGCGUGUAUGAAGAAGGCCUUCGGGUUGUAAAGUACUUUCAGCGGGGAGGAAGGGAGUAAAGUUAAUACCUUUGCUCAUUGACGUUACCCGCAGAAGAAGCACCGGCUAACUCCGUGCCAGCAGCAGC